GGAGGAAUAUUGGUCAAUGGGCGAGAGCCUGAACCAGCCAUGCCGCGUGCAGGAAGAAGGCCCUCUGGGUCGUAAACUGCUUUGGGUGCCGGCGAACCGCGGGGACGUGUCCCCGCCUGACGGUAGGCACAUAACAAGCACCGGCUAACUCCGUGCCAGCAGCCGCGGUAAUACGGAGGGUGCGAGCGUUAUCCGGAUUUAUUGGGCUUAAAGGGUGCGCAGGCGGCCCGAUAAGUCGGCGGUGAAACCC
RNAcentral lists this ribosomal RNA (250 nucleotides) under uncultured bacterium. RNAcentral's name for it is "partial 16S ribosomal RNA". It matches the Rfam family "Bacterial small subunit ribosomal RNA", at positions 355 to 602 of the family's 1533-position model. The record is from RNAcentral.